RNAcentral lists this ribosomal RNA (492 nucleotides) under uncultured bacterium. RNAcentral's name for it is "partial 16S ribosomal RNA". It matches the Rfam family "Bacterial small subunit ribosomal RNA", at positions 30 to 507 of the family's 1533-position model. The record is from RNAcentral.
AGUGAACGCUGGCGGUAGGCCUAACACAUGCAAGUCGAACGGCAGCACAGUAAGAGCUUGCUCUUACGGGUGGCGAGUGGCGGACGGGUGAGGAAUACAUCGGAAUCUACUUUUUCGUGGGGGAUAACGUAGGGAAACUUACGCUAAUACCGCAUACGACCUACGGGUGAAAGCAGGGGAUCUUCGGACCUUGCGCGAUUGAAUGAGCCGAUGUCGGAUUAGCUAGUGGGCGGGGUAAAGGCCCACCAAGGCGACGAUCCGUAGCUGGUCUGAGAGGAUGGGAGGCCCCAGUGGAAAUGGGACACGGACGAGACUAGUACGGGAGGCAGCAGGAGGGAAUGGUACGGAAUGGGGGGAAGCGUGACGGAGCAUUGCCGCGGGAGUGAUGAAGGUCUUCGGAUCGUAAAACUCGGUUAGUAGGGAAGAAAAAAUGUGGAAGUAAAUAUGCACGGAUGGACGGUACCUAAUCAGAAAGCCACGGCUAACUACGUG